UAGCCUUGACAUUGAUUGAACACACUAGAGAUAGAGUGGUGCCCUUCGGGGAACAUGAAAACAGGUGCUGCACGGCUGUCGUCAGCUCGUGUCGUGAGAUGUUGGGUUAAGUCCCGCAACGAGCGCAACCCUCGUCCUUAGUUGCUAGCAGUUCGGCUGAGCACUCUAAGGAGACUGCCUUCGCAAGGAGGAGGAAGGUGAGGACGACGUCAAGUCAUCAUGGCCCUUAUGGCUAGGGCUACACACGUGCUACAAUGGGGCGUACAGAGUGUUGCGAUACCGCGAGGUGGAGCUAAUCACUUAAAGCGUCUCUCAGUUCGGAUUGGAGUCUGCAACUCGACUCCAUGAAGCUGGAAUCACUAGUAAUCGUAGAUCAGCAAUGCUACGGUGAAUACGUUCCCGGGUCU
This 407-nucleotide ribosomal RNA is filed under the name uncultured bacterium. Its description in RNAcentral is "bacterial SSU rRNA". It matches the Rfam family "Bacterial small subunit ribosomal RNA", at positions 976 to 1381 of the family's 1533-position model. The record is from RNAcentral.